Molecule: ribosomal RNA, 253 nt
Filed under: uncultured bacterium
Lineage: Bacteria
Description: partial 16S ribosomal RNA
Rfam family: Bacterial small subunit ribosomal RNA
Source: RNAcentral
UACGUAGGGUGCGAGCGUUGUCCGGAAUUACUGGGCGUAAAGAGCUCGUAGGUGGUUUGUCGCGUUGUUCGUGAAAACCUGAGGCUUAACCUUGGGCGUGCGGGCGAUACGGGCAGACUGGAGUACUGCAGGGGAGAUUGGAAUUCCUGGUGUAGCGGUGGAAUGCGCAGAUAUCAGGAGGAACACCGGUGGCGAAGGCGGGUCUCUGGGCAGUAACUGACGCUGAGGAGCGAAAGCGUGGGGAGCGAACAGG